Molecule: ribosomal RNA, 397 nt
Filed under: uncultured bacterium
Lineage: Bacteria
Description: bacterial SSU rRNA
Rfam family: Bacterial small subunit ribosomal RNA
Source: RNAcentral
GGAAUAUUGGACAAUGGGCGCAAGCCUGAUCCAGCCAUGCCGCGUGGAUGAUGAAGGCCCUAGGGUUGUAAAGUCCUUUCGGCGGGGAAGAUAAUGACGGUACCCGCCGAAGAAGCCCCGGCUAACUUCCUGCCAGCAGCCGCGGUAAUACGAAGGGGGCUAGCGUUGUUCGGAAUUACUGGGCGUAAAGCGCACGUAGGCGGAUAUUUAAGUCAGGGGUGAAAUCCCGCAGCUCAACUGCGGAACUGCCUUUGAUACUGGGUAUCUUGAGUAUGGAAGAGGUGAGUGGAAUUCCGAGUGUAGAGGUGAAAUUCGUAGAUAUUCGGAGGAACACCAGUGGCGAAGGCGGCUCACUGGUCCAUAACUGACGCUGAGGUGCGAAAGCGUGGGGAGCAAA